RNAcentral lists this ribosomal RNA (1220 nucleotides) under Osteocephalus buckleyi (Buckley's slender-legged treefrog). Its description in RNAcentral is "partial large subunit ribosomal RNA". It matches the Rfam family "Bacterial large subunit ribosomal RNA", at positions 847 to 2798 of the family's 2925-position model. Lineage: Eukaryota; Metazoa; Chordata; Amphibia; Anura; Hylidae. The record is from RNAcentral.
AGCUGGUUACUCAAGAAAAGGAUUUAAGUCCAGCCUAAAGUCUUCUCAGUUUUUCAAAAACAUAACUCUGACUUUAGAGUAAUUCAAAUAAGGUACAGCCUGUUUGAAAAAGGAUACAACCUAAACUAACGGGUAAUAAUUUGACUUCAUAACUAAGUGGGCCUAAGAGCAGCCACCUUUAAAAUAGCGUCAAAGCUUUAUUAUUAUACCUCCCCAAUACUUUAAAAAUUUCACAACCCUUUAAUUCUAUUGAGUAAUUCUAUAACAUUAUAGAAAGUAUGAUGUUAAAACUAGUAACAAGAAGAAGACCUUCUCUUUAAUGCAAGUGUAAAUCAGAAAGGACCCCCCACUGAUAAUUAGCCCCCAUGAAAUUACAUUAACAACCUCGCAAGAAAAACCUAAUGAACUCUGAGUUAAUCUAACACAAGAGCAUUUCAAGAAAGAUUUAAAGAAAAAGAAGGAACUCGGCAAACAUUAACCUCGCCUGUUUACCAAAAACAUCGCCUCUUGAAUCCCUAUAAGAGGUCCAGCCUGCCCAGUGACUUUGUUCAACGGCCGCGGUAUCCUAACCGUGCGAAGGUAGCGUAAUCACUUGUCUUUUAAAUGAGGACUUGUAUGAAUGGCAUCACGAGGGUUAUACUGUCUCCUUUCUCUAAUCAGUGAAACUAAUCUUCCCGUGAAGAAGCGGGAAUAAAUAUAUAAGACGAGAAGACCCUAUGGAGCUUUAAACUCAAUAACAAAUACUAACCUUACUUUAACUUCCAGAACAUUAACACUAAUCUUAGUACUAUGAUUAUUAGUUUUAGGUUGGGGUGACCGCGGAGUAAAAAUUAACCUCCACAUUGAACAGGACCUUUCCUUGAGCUAUGAGCUACAACUCUAAACACCAACAAAUUGACAUUAAUUGACCCAAUAUUUUGAUCAACGAACCAAGUUACCCUAGGGAUAACAGCGCAAUCCACUUCAAGAGCUCCUAUCGACAAGUGGGUUUACGACCUCGAUGUUGGAUCAGGGUAUCCCAGUGGUGCAGCCGCUACUAAAGGUUCGUUUGUUCAACGAUUAAAACCCUACGUGAUCUGAGUUCAGACCGGAGUAAUCCAGGUCAGUUUCUAUCUAUAAAAGAGUUUUUUCUAGUACGAAAGGACCGAAAAAACAUGGCCCAUACUUAAUGCAAGCCAUAAUUAUUAACUUAUGACCAAAUCUUAAUAAGUACCCAAUCC